Molecule: ribosomal RNA, 465 nt
Filed under: uncultured bacterium
Lineage: Bacteria
Description: partial 16S ribosomal RNA
Rfam family: Bacterial small subunit ribosomal RNA
Source: RNAcentral
GAUGAACGCUGGCGGCGUGCUUAACACAUGCAAGUCGAACGGAAAGGCUCCUGCUUGCAGGGGUACUCGAGUGGCGAACGGGUGAGUAACACGUGGGUGAUCUGCCCUGCACUUCGGGAUAAGCCUGGGAAACUGGGUCUAAUACCGGAUAGGACGAUGGUUUGGAUGCCAUUGUGGAAAGUUUUUCGGUGUGGGAUGAGCUCGCGGCCUAUCAGCUUGUUGGUGGGGUAAUGGCCUACCAAGGCGUCGACGGGUAGCCGGCCUGAGAGGGUGUACGGCCACAUUGGGACUGAGAUACGGCCCAGACUCCUACGGGAGGCAGCAGUGGGGAAUAUUGCACAAUGGGCGCAAGCCUUAUGCAGCUACGCCGCGUGGGGGAUGACGGCCUUCGGGUUGUAAACUCCUUUCGCUAGGGACGAAGCGCAAGUGACGGUACCUGGAGAAGAAGCACCGGCUAACUACGUG